This is a long non-coding RNA of Hyposmocoma kahamanoa, 411 nucleotides long. RefSeq lists it as uncharacterized. The record is from RefSeq and is a predicted model, not a curated record. The transcript has 4 exons. NCBI's taxonomy places the organism in Eukaryota, Metazoa, Arthropoda, Insecta, Lepidoptera, Cosmopterigidae.
ACAGUUGGCGGCACGACGGUUGAUUCGUUCCCCACCACUGAAGACUGGGACAACGAGGAGUGGUCCGGCUCGCUCUCCGACACCAAGGUGUUCACUCCGAGUGUCAACGCUCAAAACAUCCCCAGCGAUGCAGAUGCAGGCACAUCACUCAACGCACAGGGCGCCGAGGAUUGGGAGGCGGGGUCGUCGAACGGGCCGGGCGAGCAUAUCCCCACAUACACGUACCACAACCCGCAGCACAAGGCGCCGCCCACCGCUGACGCGCCGCCAGCGCACCACUACCUCAAGUUAAACGAGCUGGCGGCGAGCGCGGGCGUGGCGGCCGGGCCGGGCGCCGCGGCCGACGCGCAGCUCGACUCCUUCCACGCCGCGCACCCGCCGCUCGCGCAGCACCAGCCGCACCACCAGGUA